This 14808-nucleotide long non-coding RNA is filed under the name Zea mays. RNAcentral describes it as "long non-coding RNA (ZMAY_LNC005185)". The record is from RNAcentral. Lineage: Eukaryota; Viridiplantae; Streptophyta; Magnoliopsida; Poales; Poaceae.
AAAAGGCCGUAACUGCUCGCCGCCUUUCUCUGCCCCGUAAAAGGCCGUAACUGCUCGCCGCCUUUCUCCCCUGGUGAGUCGUGACUGAACCGCAACUUCCCCCCGCGCCGACCUGCUCCGGCGAGUUAGGCAUGACCGUCCUCCCCCGCGGCACCUUCGCCGCAGCCAUGACUGCUGGCCCCUCCUCGGCGCUGCUCGCCACCACCUUCCGCGCUCCCAUGGCCGCCUUCUGCCUCGCGCUGCGCCGCAGCGCCGCUUGUAUGUGGCCCGCGCGUCGGCCCAGCCGCUCGAGGUCUGCGCUAAGGAGUCCAUCACCGUCCUUGGCUUCCUCGGAGACUGUAAGCUCUCUCUCUCUCGCGCGCUGGCUAAAUGUAGUCCAUAGAAUGCAAGGUGAACUGACAACAAUGCUGGUUGCGUCGCCAGCUAUUUGGAUGAGGGGAGAGUUUUCUCGAUUUAAUUUGCUGCAUUAAGAGUGCAACUUCAAAUGCUAGAUUUAUUUCACAUUUAGAGUGUAUUGGUAUUUGAUUUUCGUGUUGGUAUCAUGAUCCGUAUGUGGUUUAUGAAGACACGUGAAAAAAAAACAUAAUAACCUGAAAUUGCAUGAGAUGAGAUGUGCAGCAUUAGACAUGUCUGCCACCUGGAUGUAGUUAUUUUAGCACAUAGUUUAGUCCUGCAAUCUGCACCAAGCCACUUCUGUGGUAAACAGUGUUUGACUUUAGUGCACUUGUUUUAUCCAUCAUCUUGGUGACAAUACAAACCGUGUCUAUUCUCUGGAUCAUGUAGCCAACAACAAUGCUUGGCGAAGGUUGGGUGAUUGGUAUUUUCAGUAUUUUUUUGGUGAAGUCUAUUAUUAUGUACUCCCUCCGUUCUUUUUUAUUUGUUGUGUUUUAGUUCAAAACUAAACUAGCGGGCCACAAAUAUUCGAGAACGGAGGUAGUAGUACAAUAUAUUAAGAGAUGUACAUGUCGAGGUUAUCUUUGGAGUGAAAUCUCUUGCUUGAUUAAAAUUUUGUCGCCUGCCCUACACCUCUUUUAAGUUUUAUUGGGGACUAUAUAAUUUGUUAAUGCCUUAAUGACAAAAAAUGAUUCUGGGCUCAAGAUACGAUGCUUUCCUGGUUUCUAUAUGCUUAAGAGCAAGUAUAAUAAGUUGAUAUAGGUGGGCUGUGAGCGAUGUCACAUCGGAUUUGUGGUGACAUGAAAGAAAGAUAAAUAGAGAUAAGAGAAGUAGGUUGUCCACUAAUAGCCAGCUAAAAGUGGGUUGUUCAUGGACUUCAAGGCACUUUGUGAGAGACAGAGAUAGACCAAAUAUUAAAUGUACAACUUGUAUCUUCACCACAUUGUAUGAGACCAAAUAUUAAAUUGAUGAGAUGGUAGCUGUGGCAGAACCUCCCAAGUAAUCGGGCCCACAUGCACCUGUCCUCGUCUCAAAGACCUCAGACGGCUAUGCAUGUGCAUCAGAUAACUUAACAGGAUUUGUCCGAGUGUUUUAGGGACCCCGGAUAAACCACUUAUAACUAGGAUCACAAGAUUAAGUAAACACAAUUCACACACCAACACAUGCAGCGGAAUUUCUUUAUUACAAUAAGGUUACAAUUUAGUACAAGAUUACAUUAUACAUAUCGGGGUGAUUACAAAAAAAUGAUUCAAAGGAUUACCCUUUGAAAUGUUAUAAAAUAUUUGUAAGUUUGAAAUACAUGCUAACUUAAGUUACCAUCCUCAAUAAGAAGUAUAGAAGAGCUACUUAGACCUAUAAGAAGGCCGUGCCCACCGGCGGCCGGCGCUUAGCACCAUCCAUAGCAGCACACGAUCAAUACCUGCAACGGUGGGUUCAAAGAACCCUGAGUACGAAGGUACUUUUGCAAGUCUUACCCGACAAAAGAAAAAACUCUUAAGGAUAUGUUGGCUUAAAGGGAUUCAAGGUAAAGCUCAUCAAGUUUCAAAGACUCUUUUUGCAGAAAAGCUUACUAGAAGUGGAUCCUUAAGGCAAACUUUUACUUAGCAAGUUGAGUUCUUUCCUGAUUCUAGAUUUGCCUAAUCUAGAGCAUUCACUUGUCCUAUACUAGCUUCCUUUUACCAAAUUCUUGUUCCACUUAUUAACUACGAUGCAGGUCCCGAGAAGUAACGGCGAUCCGAAUCGAUUAAUACCCAGCUGGGGAUCUCCAACCACACGACAUAUGUAGCACUUAACCCUUGCAUAUGUCAACUCGCACUCGGGUUUCUCAAUACCAGAAUGGGUUCACGCCACCUGAGAGCACAUAUACUCCACCGUCCAGCCUCUUGCCGCGGAGGGUAAACGCUACUCUCGCCAUCUCUCCACUCACAUUGCGUGUGAAAGGAUCACGAUGCCCAAGAGGGGGGGGGGUGAAUUGGGCUUUUCUAAAAAUCAACACAAAUUAAAACCUAAGCAAGAGCUAAGCAAGAUCCCAACUUCACCCCAACAACUAGCACUAAGAAUAUAAUACUAGAAAUGCAACAAAGCUAAGACAAUACUUCAAAUACUUGCUAAACAAAUACACAAUGUAAAGUGCUUGAAUUAAGUGCGGAAUGUAAAGCAAAGUUUAGAAGACUCCUCCAAUUUUUCCCGAGGUAUCGAAGAGUCGGCACUCUCCACUAGUCCUCGUUGGAGCACCCGCGCAAGGGUAUUGCUCCCCCUUGGUCCUCGCAAGAACCAAGUGCUCACUACGAGAUGAUCCUUUGCCACUCCGGCGCGGUGGAUCCCUCGAGACCGCUUACAAACUUGAGUCGGGUCACCAACAAGAUCUUCACGGUGAUCACCGAGCUCCCAACGCCACCAAGCCGUCUAGGUGAUGCCGAUCACCAAGAGUAACAAGCCGUAGACUUUCGCUUGACCAAGAGAAGCCUAAUGCAAGUGGUGUGUGCUCUAGGUGGCUCUCACUAGCGCUAAUGAGGAACAAACGCGGAUUAUGAUUCUCUAAUCUCCUCACAAGGCUUUUGGUGCUUGCAAUGCUCUAGCAAUGUGCUGCAAUAAAUGUGGGGUGCAAGACAUUGAAUAUGGUGGGUGGAGGGGGUAUAAAUAGCCCUCACCCACCAACUAGCCGUUACAGGCAUUUCACUGCGCAAUGGCGCACCGGACAGUCCGGUGCGCCACCGGUGCGCCACCGGUGCGCCACCGGUGUGCCAACGGUCGUUUCCAACGGCUAGUUCUGACAGCUAGCCGUUGGACUCAUGGCGCACCGGACAGUGAACAGUUCACUGUCCGGUGCACACCGGACAGUCCGGUGUGCCACUAAAAUUCAACUCUGAAAGCUGCGCUCUCGGGUUUCUGCGAAGGGAAAUCCUCUGCCGCGGACCAGCCUGGCCCCACCUGGCAGAGGGUGCACCGGACAGUCCGGUGCCCCAAAGCCAGAAACACUAACUCUUGUUUUUCAGCUGAUUUUCGAAUCGGUUUUCGUUCUAACUUGUGUGUGAGCUCUAGAGUGACACCUAGCACUGUGUAUGUGUGUGAUUGUGCACCAACACUACACUAGAACUCUCUUGGUCAAACUACUCAUCGACAACCCCUUUUUAUAGUACGGCUAAAAGAGAAUAAAAGACCUAACUAAAUCGCGAGUGUCCACAUCUCCUUGACACUCGGACUCCGUAGAUCUUCACCUUUUGUUUCGUCGUUUUAGUCGUCGCUUCGAGUUCUUAUCUCCGGGAUUGUUUUCACCGUUGUAGUACUUCUACCUGUCAUGCGACCUAACUUACCAUUUGUCUCUGCAAAACACACGUUAGUCACAUAUAAUAUUACGUUGUCAUUAAUCACUAAAACCAACCAGGGGCCUAGAUGCUUUCAAUCUCCCCCUUUUUGGUGAUUGAUGACAACCCUACAAGUUUUGUGAGAGUAGUUUGUUUUGAAGUUUCUGUCAAUAGAAAGAAUGGUUAGUUAUACUCAGUAAUCUUUGACAGAAAGAACGUGUACCAUAAUAAUAAGAGUGAGCGCAUACACAUCAUCAGAUUCUUGUUCAUAUAAAAGUGAAGUUAAGUCAAUGAAACAAGAACUGGAGGACUGGUGAUAAAAUAUAAGGUGAAAACAUAAUACACACAGUCAAUCAUAAGCAGCGAGAGUAUAUGACGAGUUUGUGAGCCAAAAACAUCAAGCUAGUACAGAGAGUAGCAAGCACAUAUAUUACAUCAAAAGGACUCUCUACUAACUCUCUAACUCCCCCUAGCUCUCACAACUCAUAUCUCUCCCCCUUUGGCGUCAAACACCAAAAGGGACCUGAACCUAAACACCUGAAGCAGGAGGAGGCGGCGGGGGCGCAUCCGGUCGCGGUCGAGGCAGCAUAGCGAAUGCCGGCGGCGGGUCAGAGUCAGUCUUGGAUCCAGGAUCUGCGGUAGAAGCUGGAGCUGGUACUGACUCGGACUGAGGCCGCACUGCAGGAGCUACCGGAACAAGAGCGGUCAUAGAUACUGCCACAACAGUAGUGGUAACAGCAGAUGCUGGUGGCACUGGCGGCUGCGGGCAGACAGAGCUGAGAACCGGAGAGGGGAACGCCAAAGUGACCGGCCGGAGCGGAGAGGUACCAACAGGGGGUCCUGACAAAAUCGAUGGCACCACUGGAGCGUGAAGCGGAGGAGGUGGAGCAGACUGAACUGGAGGUACUGAGAUACCAGAAUGCUGAAGCAUAAGAGCCAUGAAUGCCCUAGUCUCAGCCCGAUCCUGAAGUAGCUGCUGCUGAAGGGCAUCCUGCCUGUCCUGCAUGUUCUGAAACAUCGAGAGCAUCCUCUCGGAUAACCGGGCCUGCUCGGCCGCCAGGUUGGCCAGAAUCGUAGCAAGAGCAGAGUCCAUAGCCUGAGGAGGAGCAGGGGCAACACUAGAACUCCCAGCCUCAUGAUCAUGUGAGCGUGGAGGCAUAGGAGGCGGAGGCGGAGGAGGAACCCCAAAAUCAUCAUCAUCAUCAUCAUCAUCAUCAUCAGCUGCUGUACCCUGAGUGUCAAACUGUCGAAGAGCUGCAUCCUCGGCCUGAGAGUCAAACACAGAAGCAGAAGCUGGCACAGGAAUCUCAGGCGCAGGACGGUAGGAUCCAAAAACGAGGCGUGAGGCCUCAAGGGUGCUCUGAAAUCGAGGGGGCUGAAUCAGCUGCGCAAAUAUGUGGCACAAGUAGUGAGCAUAAGGCAACUGCCGACGAGCACGAAUCCCAUCUAGAACGGUGUCCUCGAUCUCACAAAUCAGGAAGUCCACAACGUCAAACUCAGAGUGGGAGACCAGGGCACCAAGGAGCCAAAGCUGAAUGUGAGUGGUAGCCUCCCUGUAUCCCAUCCUCGGCAGAAGAGUCCGUCUGAUGAGCUCAUAUAGGUACUUUGCUGCUGUAGUAAAGUCUGCCGGUGAACGUCGCGACCCAUCUGUGAAGGGCGGGCGGAACAGAGCCGCGACGUGAGCUGUACCCGGAGCCACACCGCCGUGAGGGCGACGAGGAGGGUCAGAAGUGCCGUAGCAGAGACUGUGAAGGCGAGUCGUCGACUCAGGGAAUCCAAAUAGCUGUCGGAUCUGACUGGCAGUAAUUGUGACAUCCUCACGCUCAAAGCGGAACCUCAUCCAGUGAUGAUCCGGGUCUAUCCAAACAGAGGCGUAAAAGACACAGACCCACUCCUCAACAUACCUGCCGCUGAUAGUCAGAAGGGUCUGAAGGCCAGGCAGAUAGGUGAGGUGCGCCUCAGAGUCAGCACCGGCUGCAAGCAGAAAGACUGGAAGAUCCAAAAGUCGGUGCACUCGCAGAGCUAUCUGAGCAGACAUCUGAGCUCUGAAAAACGACUCCUGAAUACGAGUGCUGAAAAGCUCACUUGCUGCAGGGUCUCUCUGAGCUGGUAGCCAAGACUCCACGGGUACGUAUCUGAACCUACGUACACAUGCCGCUGUAGCACGCUGAAGGUCAAACAGACGAGGAUCCGAAACCAGAGGACGAACCUCAGUCUCAUCACGCUCCCGGAAACGAGGUGGAGGGACAGGAGGAGCUGAUGCGGGAGCGGGAGUAGGAGGAGCAGUGGAAGCUGGCGUAGUGGAGGUAGCGGGUAUGGCUGUGGAGGUGGAUGGAGCAAUAGGAGUGACGGGAGCAGGCAGAGUGGGAGGCGGAGUGGAAGCGGAGGUGUGGGAGGAGGAGCGAGGCCGGGAGGUGAGACGACGAACACGGAAUGCAAUCUGAUCGGAUGGAGUCUGCGGCUGAUCUCCAAGCGCGGCCUGCGCAGCGGCUGCUGCAGCUGCUGCCGCUGCACGGGCUUCUCUGUCCGUACGCCGCUUCUUGCGGCCUUCCUGCUGCUCCAAGUAAACAGACUUGCCCUUGACCUGCCUGAAGGGGCGACGAGGAUCCUCAUCAUCGCCUCCCCCUGGCGCCGACGCAUUCUUCGUGCGCGGCAUCCUGAACUGAUGUCUGGAAAGCUCACACGAGAGGUGACGAUCCAGGCAGGACGGGAGACGGCACACGGGCAACCAAGGUCACUGAAAUGACAGAAGAGGUGAGCACGUAUUAGUCACAUAGUCAUAAGUAUAUGAAAUGUGAAUAAAUACAUACACAAGAGAAAUAUGGCACAUGAAACACAAGAUGAGGCGAUCGAGAAGUCAAACGACGUGAAAACGACGUUUGAAGGAUAAAUAGUGCCAUAGAAGGUUUGGAAUUCGAAUUGAGGCACGAAACGAUAUGGAAUUGAGCCGAAACUUCACGAAUAGGUUUAUAUAGGUGAAUAUGAGUGAAGUGUGUGCUUGGUUUGAAUUUAGGCGAAGAAAAAGGGAUUAGGGCACUCGGCUCGGAAACGAUCGCUCGAAACGGGGAAUUUAGUGAAAUUGAAGCCUGGAAACUCGGAUUUGCGUGAAAUUUGGCAAGAGUGUUACUGGAAGUGUUGUGAAGGUGCCUGAAAAAUUUGGGUUCAAUUGGAGCAUUUUUGGCUGGUUUGGGCAUUUUACCGAACACGUGGUGUGCGAGGAACUAGGGUUUCGGUGAAACGGCUAUUUGAGGUGGGAAAACCCUCCCGAAGGAGCUAAAAGCCUACAGGGAUACACAAAAGGGACAAUUGAAUACAUUCCACCAACUGGAUUCACAAGAUUUCACAGGAAUUUGAAGAAAAUCACAAGAGGUGAAAAGGGUGGUUACUGUAACACAGCAGGGAAAGAGACAGAGGGAAAGAGACAGAUGAAUGGGCUGCUCACCGAGAGGGAGAAGGCGAGCCCGGGCACACGAUCGCCGGAGCACGGUGGUCGCCGGAGAGGGGAGGUCGCCGGCGGGCGCUGGGAAUCUUUGGUCAUGCUACUGGGUCUGUUACAGACAAUCCUCCCCGAAUAUCUGACACCCAUUGACGAUUUGUGAGCCCCUCAGCUACUGUUCUUCGCUUUAAAGCCCUUCUAGAAAUCACUUGGAUAAGGGUUGGACAGUGUUCAGCCACAGUUUUACCAAGGAGCCAACGAUCAGACCAGAACUUCACAGAUUCACCACUGCCUACCACUGAGGUAAUAGCCACAUCAACAAGGGCCUUUGCAUUACGGUGCACUCGGAUAGGGAGACCAGCCCAUGGCCUUGACGCAUCAGUCUUUUGUAACCAAAGCCACCUGGCACGUAGGGCCCAUCCAAACAUCUCCAGGUUGAGAAUACCCAGACCACCAUACUUGAGAGGCCGCUGGACAGCUUCCCAGGACACGAGACACUUACCUCCAUUUGCAUCACCUUGCCCCUUCCAAAGAAAGCCUCGUCUCCUCUUAUCGAUUGCCUUAAAAACCCAUUUAGGGAGUUCUAAAGCAAGCAUAAGAUAGAUAGGGACAGAAGACAACACUGUCUUAACCAUGACAAGACGACCAGCCCGGCUGAGAAGAUUAGCUUUCCAUCCUGGAAGUUUAUCAGCAACUUUAUCAACAAGCGGCAGGAGAUCAGAGUUAGCAAGCCUACAGAUUGAUAGAGGAAUCCCCAAGUAAGUGCAGGGAAAUUUUUUUGUAGCACAUGGUAAUAAGGCAGAAAUGGUGGUCAGCUCAUUCGCUCCACAUUGAAUGGGUGUAACAGAACUUUUGGAGAUGUUCGUUUUUAACCCAGUAGCAUGACCAAAGAUGUUUCACAUCAUUCUUUUUGAAAACAACUUUUAAUCUUAUAAGCAGGGCUAAGCAUCAUUAAUUCUCUUUAUAAAAGAGGUAUCAAGAAAUGGUAAUCAAUUUUCCAAGGAAGGAAAUGCAUCAAAUAUUUAUCACCCAACUCCUAUCACCUAAUGCAUCAUAUAAGGUGAUAAAUGUUUUGAAAAUAACAAGGAAAGGGUAAAUGCACUAGGGCUUGCCUGGGAUAACACUAGUUAGUGUUUUUUAGACGAUGUCCGCUUGACGACUAUCUCUCGUCUUGACACUGGUUCAGUCCGUCCAUUUUUCCAGUUCACCGGCCGACAUCGUCUCGUGGUCUGCGCUGGUCCACAUCCUUUGCUUCGUACGAUUCUCAUCUAGCGUACCUAAUGAGAUGCAUGGUGCACAUGAAUGGAUAUAAACAGGAAUGUCACAAGGCUAAAUAAUGCUACACCAUAGCGAAUUAAACACUUAGCGGCGAGACACAUAAUAACACUUAAAAGCAUAUACUAGAUGUUGAGAUAUUUCUAAGGGUGUGUUUGGUUUGACUUUUGGCUUUGACUUUUGACCUAUAAAAGCCAAAAGCCAACCAAAGGGCUGGAUCGAGGAAGCAGCUUUUUCUAAAAGCCGACUUUCUCGCAGUGCAAAUCUGAAAGCACCCAUGUACCUGCUUUUAGUGGCUUUUCGGAUGGAACUGUGAAAACAUAUAUCGAAGAACUUUUAACGACUUUUAGUGGUUUCCACCAUACGGUUUUUAGUUUUUUAAUAGCUCACAGCCUACAGCAGUUUUAUCAACAGCUCACAGCCCACAACAACUUUUUUCACAGCCACAGCCCAACCAAACAGACCCUAAGUACAUCGUUCAUGUUAUUUUAACUUAACCAAAUUCAAUUUAAACAACAAAUUACUGAUGGGAGGACGCUGGAGCGCUGCUCCGAGCGGCACAGGCUAGCGCGGUACAAAUUACAAAAAUUCAGACACCCCGUAAAGCCACAUUCACUUACUCAUGCGAUCCAAACGGCUCAGGACUCGACAUCAGACGAUAUUAUUGUAUUUUGAAAUUCGCGAAAUCAUUUCAAGAAUACUAAACUGAUAUUCUUACUGGCAGCCUACGCUUAAGUCCAUAGCCGAUGAUAAAUGCAUAGUAACACAUGGGGUGUUACAACAAUGGCUCAUGUCAGUCCACUCAUCGGACAUGAGUGUCUAAAGCAUCCUCAUGCUUCUUUCUAAGUUCUGAUUCCCUAUUAAUAGCCUUAUUAAGCAAUUGACUACCCCUUACCUCAUGGUAUGAAGGUGACCAGUAUCUAGGACCAUAUUGUUCAAUAGACUCAAAGAGAAAAUUUCCAGCUUCAAGAGUUAACCAUAUUUAAUGAUAUACCAUUCUCAGACAAGGAAUCAACUGCACAGUCAUCAACACUUUGUUUAUGUUUUUUUUGUGAGAUGCUCAAUAAUAGGUUGAGAAGUCUUAGACUUUGCCUUUCUGCAACUACUACUUCUGGUGUUCUGUAGAGCAUGGCACUAAUUGACCUGGAGGAGCAGAAACCAUAAAAGAAUUAAUAGUAGCUUGAGCAAUUUUCUUCCUUGCUUGCUUUCCUUUUGUCCCAAAAGUUGAUGACUAAAUUAUUGGCCACCCACCUUGCAGAGAUUCAAUGAGAUGGUUCUCUAAGCCAGAGUGCAUUCAUAAAAGGUCGGUUCAUUCAGACUCCAUGUUGGUCCAACAAGCCACAAAAUUCCUUCAUCAACAAAAGCAUGCACGAUUGCUUCUAGAGUUGAAUAUCACAAAGGCCUUUGACUCAUUUUCUUAGCCUUUCUUACUGGAGGUACUCCAAAAAUUGGUUUUUGGGUAGAUUUGGAGAGACAUUAUAUGUGGUCUGCUAGCUACUUCUUCCACUAAAGCCUUGGUGAACGGUCAUCCAGGCGAGAUCAUCCAACAUAGAAGAGGGUUACGACAGGGAGCUCUGCUUUCACCAAUGCUUUUUAUUCUAGUUAUGGAUGUAUUGGGAACCCUUUUCCCUAAAGUUGUGGUGGGGUUUUUGCGGCCUCUUGCAAACUGGCCAAUGCAACAUUGAGUCUCUAUAUAUUGAUGAUGUUGCCCUUUUCAUCAGUCCAUUAACUGAGGACAUAUCCAUCACUAUGGACGUUCUCCACUUAUUUGAUGAAGCAUCAGAAUUACGGAAUAAUGCCCAGAAAUCUAGUGCUUAUCCCAUACAAUGUGGUCAUUGUUGGCCCUGACCUUGCCCAGGAACUUGCUCUCCCUCGCUCACAUGCUCAUGGACGCAAGGAAGAAGAUGAAUAAUGCACUUGGUUGGGCGACAAACGUCGUCGUGACUACUCGCUUGUAUCUUAGCCUUUGAUUGAUUGAUGUACCAGAGCGGUGAUUACAGAGGGGAAUGUCGCUAUUAAUUGCCGCAACAUAGCUCUCCUUCACCACCCGACUUCCUUGCUGGUCGCCAUGGUCACACCCACGCGUUGCGGCGUGCCCGCACGACGCGCUCGCUUGCACGACAUGCACACAUGCCCAACGACUGGCAAUCUUCCUGCCACCACUCCAACAAACACUGAUCGCACCCCCUACACGUGCAUGCCUGACCCGAUCCAUCCAUGGUGCAGCUCGCCUGCCUCCCACGUGUGCCAAACUUUGGGGACACACACCAUACAUGCACGACACACACACAACACACCAACACUCACUAUUGUCGAGCUUAAUCCUAGCAAUCACCCCUCUAAGCUUGACACGACGACGCCUAGGUCUUCACAGCAGCGUAGCCUCCACUUUGUUGGCGAGGAGCGCCGCCUUCUUCCACUCGCGAUAGUGGCGAGCUAGGUGCCCGCGCUCCCCACACUCGAAGCAGCGCUCGCGGUUGUGGCCCCCAUGUCGGCAGCCCAGAGCACAUGUUGCUUGCGUCGUCGUCGCUUUCGCUAUGGUCGUUGUUGUCGUUGCCACACUGCCCAUUCCUGCCGCGUGCACGCUUCCCACGCUGGCAGUGUCGUGCCUCCAAUUGCUCCUCCGUGAGCAGCAGUCAGUAGCCUCUUUCGUGUCGUCGUUGUCUGUGCCCUCCGCCACACGCAAUCGUCGUCGUGAUGAGGUCGAGGACAUCUCAAUGGCCACGACCACCUGCUUGAGCCUCUUCAGGCUGACGGGGAGGAUCUUCUUCACGACCGGUGAUCCUCCACCUUCUCCCACAUCUCGCGCAAACUCUCGACGAGGCCGUUGAUCCGCAGCGUGAAGACGCUGACGCUCUCGCUGUCGCGGAAGCCGACACUCUCAUACUCCUUCCACAAGCACGACACACUCGCGGCCCUCACCUGACCGUCGUCGAUCCUCAUCGGCCUCACCGCCUCCCACGCUUCUUUCGUCGUCUUCGCGGCGAGCCUCGCUUUCAUGUUCGACGGCAUCGCACGCAGGAAGGCGGCCAACACCGGCCGAUCCUUGGUGUGCUCCUUGCACAAGAGCCCCACCGCCUCCCACAGCUCCAUCACCUCCAAUUAGACCUGCAUGACCAACGUCCACUCGUGGUAGUUCACCUUGGUUAGCAGUGGGAGUUUGACGGAGUUGGAGUUGAUGAUGUGUUCUGUCGCGACGUUCGAUGAGCCCACGUCGUUGAACAUCUUCAGGCCAUCCUUUGUUGGCGGCGACCCCACCCUAGCUCUGAUACCAUUUGUUGGCCCUAACCUUGCCCAGGAACCCGCUCUCCCUCGCUCACACAGCUCACAGACGCAAGGAAGAAGAUGAACAAUGCACUUGGUUGGACGACGAAUGUUGCGACGACUACUCACUUGUAGCUUAGCCUUUGAUUGAUUGUUGUACUAGAGUGGCGAUUACAUUGCGGAAUGACGCUAUUAAUAGCCACGACAUAGCUCUCCUCCACCACUUGUUAUGGCGCGCCCACGCGCUGCAUCGUGCCUGCACACCUGCAGACAUGCCCAAACAAGGUUAUUAAAACGCCAAAAAUGUUGAAACGCUCAUGGGUGGAAUUUUAAUUUUUAAACGGUUUAAACAACAUAGGUAAAUUUCAAUAUAUCAUAAUUUUAGACAAUAACAUAGUCAAAUACCAAACAACCAACAUAAGUUCACGUAAUAAUAUUGUGCAAAAUGACAUGUCCACAACCACAUUACCACAAUAGCACAAGUUCAGCUAAUAGCGAGCCGACAACCACAAACAAAGUGCAAUGAGAUGUCUAGUAGUUCACAAUCACAAACAUAGCACAAAAGCAACUAAAGUGGAAUGCAAUGUCCACAACCACAAGCACACAAGUGUUACUCAAGCACUCAAUAACCAUCAUCCAAAUCAUCUAAAGUAACAUCAUCCUUGUCUUGCUCAUCAGCACAACCACCACUGUUGUUUGUUGCUUCUUCAUCAUCCAUGUCAAGGUCAUCAAGCACAAAAUUUUCAUCGUCUUCAUUCUCUUCACCCACAUCAAGCCCAUCUUCAUCAUCAUCAAGAAUUGGCUACCAUGAGCUCUCCUAGGAAAGUUGUGGCCUCGAAGUUGUGUGGAUGCACCGACGACAUGAUCAACAUGCAUUGCUCUGAUAGUUAAGAGGACACCAAUAGAAUAGUACUCCACUGAAAUAAUGGGCUAAUGAUUUAUGAUUGUGUAGUUCCUUCUUUUUUUUUUUUCUGAAAUACGCAGGAGAGCUGCGCAUCUUUGUAUUAAUAGAAGAAAAGAAAGGGGGAGAGAACCCCGAUACAGCACACACACCACUAGAGACUAACUACGGACCUUCAGUUUCUGAACUAUGUGAUGCUAGAAGCUAGUUGCACUUUGGAACCGUUGCAGUGAUGCCGUUUUCCAAAGCCAGCAACCAACGUCUGCUCAUACUUCAUACCCUUCUCGCUUUCUGAACUAGUUUAUGUGUUCAUAUGUAAAAGUAAAACUGUAGAAGAUAUUAUUAAGGUGUAAGCUUUUAUAUCACUGGAUGUAAUAUUAUCACAGCCAGACCUUCACAUUUAGUUGUUAAAGUAAGGUUCGGUUGUGCGCGAUCAAGUUUGCAUAUGGCAGGGGCAGAUAUAGUAUAGGUGUUUGAGGGUACAGGUACAAGCGGAGCAGAACAGGCUCCACUUAAUUAAUUCAUUAAGGGUAACAAUGAAGCAAGAAACUAAUAUGCUUAUGGAGACAUCGGCAAUGACUACCUUUGCAUACUUGCAAAGUUGGUGAAUUGUAUCCUUAUAUCCGCAAACCUAACUAUUUUUUGUCAUAUUAAGGGUUUGUUUGGUUCUUUAGUCUAGGACCUAAAGUUUAGUUAAGGGACUAAAAGUUAGUCUCUACUCUGUUUGGUUUUAGGACUAAAAUUAUUCGGAACACAUUAAAUGAAUCAUAAGAGGACCAAAAUACUCCUUAGCAUUCUCACGUCAUUAGUUCAAAUAAAGGAGAGACAAAAAGUGGAAUUUAUAUUGUUUAGUCUCUUUUAGUCACCCUUUGAGGGACUAGAGACAAACAGUUUAGUCCCACCGUUUGACAAUUUAGUGACUAAAUGAGACUAAAAUGGAGGGACUAAUCUUUAGUCCCUUAAACCAAACGGGUCCUAAAUUGUUAGCGUAUUGCAUCGUUUAGGUCCAUGCCCCCAUGAUUGAAAUCAUGUAUCUGCCACUAGCAUAUGGCCAUAACCACAGUUGUUUCCAUUUUUCCUAUGCAGUACUUAGGUCUCCAAGGAAAUACCUUAAAAUGUCCUCUACCCUAUAUUUAGAGAAGAUUCCAUCUUCUAUAGUCUAUACGCUCCAACAGUAUCACUCUAAAUAUAGGAGACGCUGCUCCAUCCUCUGCUCUAUCUAUUUUUAUACUUUAGACAACAGAUUAAGCAAAACUAAAAAAAUGUGUAAGACAUUUAAGGGUAUGACAAAUACAGACGUACAAAAAACUAGAGCAAAAUAUUUCUAAUAUAAGUAUUUAACUAUAUAGAAUAUAAAAGAGAGAUGAGAUAUAGAGAAGAAAAUAUUUUAGAGGAGUUUGUAAAGGAGGGGAUGUAGAGGAUAUGAGAGGGGAUAUAGAGGAUGUGGUGUAUCCUUCUCAAUGGAUGCCAAUUGGUACUUGAUAGUGAAUGUAUGGGUCUGUUUGGUUUAGCUUUUUUCUUAGGAUCUUUUUUGAGAAUAUAGCUGUGAGGAGAGAAUUUGGCUGUGGAGAUAAUCUGAGUAUUGUGGAGAUUACGUGAGGAGGAAGAUAAAAAAAAAUCAUAAGAUUUAUGAUGUAGAAAGUGACAGUUUUCUACUAUCGCAACGACUCGACCGAUUCUGUGUUCACGUUGAUUUUACACGGUUUUGUCUAAAGUGAUUUUCAUAAAAGCGGGUUGAGCGUUUAGCCGACUGCAACAGCUUCUAGUGGUCAGAAGCUCAAAACAGCUUAAACAAAUAGGGUCUAUGUUGGAAAGUGAGAAUCUACCAUUCUGCUUAUGGACUCCACCAGGUAACAUAUCUUUGUAAUAGAGAUAUGUUCUGUCAAUCUUUGCAUAUAUAAGUUUUAUGAGAUGUGCAACGAUUUAGCUUAUCAUGUGUUUUCUUUUCUUAUUAUUAGGAGCGGGAGAGAGAUGGCGCGAUUGGCGAACGGAGGAUGUAGAUGCAGAGGUUUGUCGCAUGUCUGUAAAUUGUACAUGAAAGGUGGUAGAUUUUGAUUGGAAUUUUGUAGGGCGUAGCAUAUCAGGUGUUCGUAUCCAAUCUAAUUUGCUUUCUGUGUGAAGUGGAAAACAUCAAAGAAAUUGUAAAAAACAGAGAAUUAUUUUUUUUAUGUAAAUGAGCAUUCUCGUUGAACUUUAACCCCAUUUGUUGUUAAUGAGGAUGGGGCGCUAUUGGG